UGAGGGAAUAUUGGUCAAUGGGCGGAAGCCUGAACCAGCCAAGUCGCGUGAGGGAAUAAGGCCCUACGGGUCGUAAACCUCUUUUGCCGGGGAGCAGUGCCCAGCUCGCGAGCUUGGGAGGGAGCGUACCCGGAGAAAAGCAUCGGCUAACUCCGUGCC
Molecule: ribosomal RNA, 159 nt
Filed under: uncultured bacterium
Lineage: Bacteria
Description: partial 16S ribosomal RNA
Rfam family: Bacterial small subunit ribosomal RNA
Source: RNAcentral